UACGAAGGGGGCUAGCGUUGCUCGGAAUUACUGGGCGUAAAGGGAGCGUAGGCGGACAUUUAAGUCAGAGGUGAAAUCCCGGAGCUUAACUUCGGAACUGCCUUUGAUACUGGGUGUCUUGAGUGUGAGAGAGGUAUGUGGAACUCCGAGUGUAGAGGUGAAAUUCGUAGAUAUUCGGAAGAGCACCAGUGGCGAAGGCGACAUACUGGCUCAUUACUGACGCUGAGGCUCGAAAGCGUGGGGAGCAAACAGG
RNAcentral lists this ribosomal RNA (253 nucleotides) under uncultured bacterium. Its description in RNAcentral is "partial 16S ribosomal RNA". It matches the Rfam family "Bacterial small subunit ribosomal RNA", at positions 524 to 776 of the family's 1533-position model. The record is from RNAcentral.